AAACUUGCCCCGAGAUGAGUUCUCCCUGACCCUUUAAGGGUCCUGAAGGAACGUUGAAGACGACGACGUUGAUAGGCCGGGUGUGUAAGCGCAGCGAUGCGUUGAGCUAACCGGUACUAAUGAACCGUGAGGCUUAACCUUACAACGCCGAAG
RNAcentral lists this ribosomal RNA (153 nucleotides) under Shigella flexneri. RNAcentral's name for it is "partial 23S ribosomal RNA". It matches the Rfam family "Bacterial large subunit ribosomal RNA", at positions 2790 to 2925 of the family's 2925-position model. Lineage: Bacteria; Pseudomonadati; Pseudomonadota; Gammaproteobacteria; Enterobacterales; Enterobacteriaceae. The record is from RNAcentral.